This is an RNA transcript of Cannabis sativa, 1669 nucleotides long. RefSeq lists it as uncharacterized. The transcript has 4 exons. Lineage: Eukaryota; Viridiplantae; Streptophyta; Magnoliopsida; Rosales; Cannabaceae. The record is from RefSeq and is a predicted model, not a curated record.
AGUGUAUUGAAUUAAAAUUAGUUUUGAAUUAGUCAAAGUGGGAUAUACUGAUAGAGAUUUAAUUAUUAUUAUUUAGUUGAUUUGGUCAACAUAGAAACAUUCAUAUAUACCCUUAAUUAUUUUUUCAUUGGUCCACCUAGCUAAACAAAAGGAGCAAGUGGCUGUUGAGCAAAUUUUGCCAGUUAUAUUCCUUGAUCCUGAACGACCAAACCAGGCUCUAGAGAAACUUAAGAGACAAUUAGCGGAUGCUGAGGCUGCACUUGAAGCACGUAAAAAGCCUCCAGAAGACACUGGCCCCAGGAUUGUUGGGGAAGGACUUGUCAUAGAUGAAUGGUUGUGUGUAGGUCGAGAUGGAUAAUAAGAAAUUGUUAGAUUUGAUAAAAGGUUUUUCUGAGCAGAGUCGCAAAGUUGAAGAGUUACGUCAAAAGGUGUCACUUAUAAAGUCAAAGAUGUGUUGUGCCUAUGAUCUUUAUCGUUUUCAUGAAGAUUGUUGCAAGUCUGAUGAUGUAUUAUUGAGAACAUCAGUUGCAUUAUUUGAAGAUUCGGUGAACUCGAAAUUAUGUAGUCAUAUGGAACCUUCUACGGAAAAUGGCAAAUUUUUGAAAUUGGUAGAAGAUAUUGUAGGAUUUAGCAGUAGUGAUCUUGAUGUUUCGAUUAUACCUAAUGUGAAAGAUGAAAAAAUAUUGGUAAAUAAGGUGGAUGAAAAUAGUUUGAAUGUUAGUUGUGGUAAAAAGUAUUGCAUUGGUGAUGACAAUGUUCAGUUUGAAGACAGUGGGAAGAAUAAAGAAGUGUCUUUUGAAAAGGAAUUAUCAAUGUUGGAUGAAUGGAAUUGUUUCGAGACGAAUGAUGGAGACUAUAUGGAAGGGGGGUUGUUCAAAUCUAAGGUGUUAGUAUCAACAAAAGAUAAGGAGUCAAUAUCAAAUAAAACGAGAUUUGCGCGAGGAUAUGGAUGUUUUGAUCCAUAUGUUAAGGAAGAGAAAGAGUUAGUAGCUAUUCACGGCGGUUCUGGAUUUGAUUUAAACUUAUAUGAUAUUACUCAGUUUGAGUUGUCUGCAUUGGUAAGUGGGUAAUUAUUUUUAUUUUAUUCUUUUUCUUGUAUAAAUAUACAUUUUAGUAGUGUGUGUAAAUGUGUUAAAAUUUAUAUAUAUAUAUAUUAGGAUGGCAAAGUAAAAUUGGCUUGUGAGAGAAGCGAGGAGCACCGUAAAUUUUCAGAAAUUUCUGCAUUGUAUCCAGUAGUUUGUUCGACACCCUGUUUUAUUGGAGAGUCCUCAUUUUCUUCUUGCGAAGAAGGUGUGACUAAAUAUAUAUUUGACAACUCACUGAAUUGUAGGUAAGUAAUUACUAUUAUCUCUUAUUAAGAAUUAUGUUUGUAACUUAAUUUGUCAACAAUAAUUGUGUUACUUUAAUUAUUUUUGUGUUUUCCUUUUGUAGGGAAGUUUUAUAUUUGAGUGAAAGAGUCGUGGGCCGAAGAGAAGACUUUCUAUCACUGAAUGUUAAUACAUUGAUCGGGACAAGGGUGGUGAACAUGGUAGUAGAUUUAUUGUGUGACUAUGAGGCUAAGCUAAGAGGACAUUCCAUGAAAUUUUGGUUUAUACCGACGAGUAUUUCUGUUAGUGUUAAUUUUUCUUAGUCAAUUAUAGAUAGUAAAUGAUUUUAGAUUGAGGUUAUA